GCGAGUUUUCCUCCAUUUCUGCUCGGCUGCCCGGAGCCCUGUUCUGUGAGCUCGCAAUGAGUCGUCGAGCCACGGAGCAGGAGGGGAGGACCGAGCCGGCCUGGAGGAUAGGGGACAUAGAGAAUCAAAGGAUGCAGAAAGGGAGGAGAGGAGGGUUGAGGAGGCAGAAUCAGGGGAUAGGUUGGAGAAGGUUUGAGCAGAGGGAAGAGAUGAUAGGAUGGAAGAGGAGAGAGUAGUGGGAGAGAGAGAGCGAAGGUUGAGACGGCACAAUACCAUCCGAGUAGGGGCAGAGUGAGAAGUGUUGGAUGAGAGCGAGAGGGAAAAGGAUACAAGGUAGUGGUCGGAGACUUGGAGGGGAGUUGCAAUGAGAUUAGUGGACGAACAGCAUCUAGUAAAGAUGAGGUCAAGCGUAUUGCCUGCCUUGUGAGUAGGGGGGGAAGGUGAGAGGGUGAGGUCAAAAGAGGAGAGGAGUGGAAAGAAGGAGGCAGAGAGGAAUGAGUCAAAGGUAGACGUGGGGAGGUUAAAGUCACCCAGAACUGUGAGAGGUGAGCCAUCCUCAGGAAAGGAACUUAUCAAGACGUCAAGCUCAUUGAUGAACUCUCCAAGGGAACCUGGAGGGCGAUAAAUGAUAAGGAUGUUAAGCUUGAAAGGGCUGGUAACUGUGACAGCAUGGAAUUCAAAUGAGGAGAUAGACAGAUGGGUCAGGGGAGAAAGAGAGAAUGUCCACUUGGGAGAGAUGAGGAUUCCAGUGCCACCACCGCGCUGGCCAGAUGCUCUCGGGGUAUGCGAGAACACGUGGGCAGACGAGGAGAGAGCAGUAGGAGUAGCAGUGUUAUCUGUGGUAAUCCAUGUUUCCGUCAGUGCCAAGAAGUCGAGGUGCUAGAGGGUAGCAUAGGCUGAGAUGAACUCUGCCUUGUUGGCCGCAGACCGGCAGUUCCAGAGGCUGCCGGAGACCUGGAACGCCACGUGGGUCGUGCGCGCUGGGACCACCAGGUUAGAGUGGCAGCGGCCACGCGGUGUGGAGCGUUUGUGUGGCCUGUGCACAGGGGAGAGAACAGGGAUAGACAGACACAUAGUUGACAGGCUACAGAAGAGGCUACGCUAAUGCAAAGGAGAUUGGAAUGACAAGUGGACUACAAUUCUCGAAUGUUCAGAAAGUUAAGCUUACGUUGCAAAAAUUUUAUUGACUAAAAUGACGAAGAUGAUACAGUACUGCUGGCUGGUGAAGUAGGCUAGCUAGCAGUGGCUGCGUUGUUGACUUUGUUUGAACGUGUAGCUGGCUAGGUAACCUCGAUAGUUUCAGUACUACACCUUAUGAUACAAAAGCAACUAUGUAGCUAGCUAACAUAGCACUAAUCAAGACAUUCCUUUGUAAUGUAUUUAGUUUCUACAAUUCUGCUCGUCGGUAAUAGUUGGCUAGGUUUGGAAAAAUGGCGUCGCGGGGGAUGAAAAUAGCUGGCUAGCUAACCUCGAUAAUUACUCUAAACUACACAAUUAUCAAACUAUGACAAAGACAACUAACACUGCACUAGUCAAAUCGUUCCGUUGUAAUGUAUUAGUUUCUAUAGUGCUGCUAGUCAGUAAAGGUUGGCUAGCUAGCAGUGGGUUUGAUGAUGACUAGGUGUGUUGACUAAGUCUGGAGUCUGGACAACGGCGUCGCGUCGCGGCUGGCUAGCUAACCUCGAUAAUUACUCUAAACUACACAAUUAUCUUAGAUACAAAGACAGCAAAGACAGCUAUGUAGCUAGC
Molecule: long non-coding RNA, 1749 nt
Filed under: Salmo salar (Atlantic salmon)
Lineage: Eukaryota; Metazoa; Chordata; Actinopteri; Salmoniformes; Salmonidae
Description: lncRNA (ENSSSAG00000061081.2)
Source: RNAcentral